Molecule: ribosomal RNA, 443 nt
Filed under: uncultured bacterium
Lineage: Bacteria
Description: partial 16S ribosomal RNA
Rfam family: Bacterial small subunit ribosomal RNA
Source: RNAcentral
CCUACGGGAGGCAGCAGUGGGGAAUAUUGGACAAUGGGGGGAACCCUGAUGCAGCGACGCCGCGUGAGUGAAGAAGUAUUUCGGUAUGUAAAGCUCUAUCAGCAGAGAAGAAAGAAAUGACGGUACCUGACUAAGAAGCCCCUGCUAACUUCGUACCAGCAGCCGCUGUAAUACGUAGGGGGCAAGCGUUAUCCGGAUGUACUGGGUGGAAAGGGGGCGUAGACGGCGAUGCAAGUCUGAAGUGAAAGGCGGAGGCCCAACCCCAGGACUGCUUUGGACACUGUAUGGCGGGAGUGCAGGAGAGGUAAGUGGAAUUCUUAGUGUAGGGGUGAAAUGCGUAGAUAUUAGGAGGAACACUAGUGGCGAAGGCGGCUUACUGGACUGUAACUGACGUUGAGGCUCGAAAGCGUGGGGAGCAAACAGGAUUAGAUACCCCGGUAGUC